AUGAGGGAGUGCAUCUCGAUCCACAUCGGCCAGGCCGGCAUCCAGGUCGGGAACGCGUGCUGGGAGCUCUACUGCCUCGAGCAUGGCAUUCAGCCUGAUGGCCAGAUGCCCGGUGACAAGACCGUUGGGGGAGGUGAUGAUGCUUUCAACACCUUCUUCAGCGAGACUGGGGCUGGGAAGCACGUCCCCCGUGCUGUCUUCGUAGAUCUCGAGCCCACUGUGAUUGAUGAGGUGAGGACUGGCGCUUACCGCCAGCUCUUCCACCCUGAGCAGCUUAUCAGUGGCAAGGAGGAUGCAGCCAACAACUUCGCCCGUGGUCAUUACACCAUUGGCAAGGAGAUUGUUGAUCUGUGCCUUGACCGUAUCAGGAAGCUUUCAGACAACUGCACUGGUCUCCAGGGAUUCCUUGUCUUCAACGCUGUUGGAGGUGGAACUGGCUCUGGCCUUGGUUCUCUUCUGCUGGAGCGCCUCUCUGUUGACUAUGGAAAGAAGUCCAAGCUUGGGUUCACAGUGUACCCAUCACCCCAGGUCUCCACCUCUGUUGUUGAGCCAUACAACAGUGUCCUGUCCACCCACUCCCUCCUUGAGCACACUGAUGUGUCUAUCCUUCUUGACAAUGAGGCCAUCUAUGACAUCUGCCGCCGCUCCCUUGACAUUGAGCGCCCAACAUACACCAACCUCAACAGGCUUGUUUCUCAGGUCAUUUCAUCGCUGACAGCUUCCCUGAGGUUUGAUGGUGCUCUGAAUGUUGAUGUCAAUGAAUUCCAGACCAACUUGGUGCCCUACCCGAGGAUCCACUUCAUGCUUUCCUCCUAUGCCCCAGUGAUCUCAGCUGAGAAGGCCUACCAUGAGCAGCUGUCUGUUGCUGAGAUCACCAACAGCGCCUUUGAGCCUUCAUCUAUGAUGGCCAAGUGUGACCCCCGCCACGGCAAGUACAUGGCCUGCUGUCUCAUGUACCGUGGUGAUGUUGUUCCCAAGGAUGUCAACGCUGCUGUGGCCACCAUCAAGACCAAGCGCACUAUCCAGUUUGUUGACUGGUGCCCCACUGGCUUCAAGUGUGGUAUCAACUACCAGCCACCAGGUGUUGUCCCAGGUGGUGACCUUGCCAAGGUCCAGAGGGCUGUGUGCAUGAUCUCCAACUCCACCAGUGUCGUCGAGGUCUUCUCCCGCAUUGACCACAAGUUUGACCUCAUGUACGCCAAGCGUGCCUUCGUCCACUGGUACGUCGGUGAGGGCAUGGAGGAGGGAGAGUUCUCUGAGGCCCGUGAGGAUCUUGCUGCCCUGGAGAAGGACUAUGAAGAAGUUGGUGCUGAGUUCGACGAGGGUGAGGACGGUGACGAGGGCGACGAGUACUAG
This 1356-nucleotide ribosomal RNA is filed under the name Triticum aestivum (bread wheat). RNAcentral's name for it is "partial small subunit ribosomal RNA". The record is from RNAcentral. Lineage: Eukaryota; Viridiplantae; Streptophyta; Magnoliopsida; Poales; Poaceae.